Molecule: ribosomal RNA, 298 nt
Filed under: Bacillus safensis
Lineage: Bacteria; Bacillati; Bacillota; Bacilli; Caryophanales; Bacillaceae
Description: partial 16S ribosomal RNA
Rfam family: Bacterial small subunit ribosomal RNA
Source: RNAcentral
ACUUGCUCCCUGGAUGUUAGCGGCGGACGGGUGAGUAACACGUGGGUAACCUGCCUGUAAGACUGGGAUAACUCCGGGAAACCGGAGCUAAUACCGGAUAGUUCCUUGAACCGCAUGGUUCAAGGAUGAAAGACGGUUUCGGCUGUCACUUACAGAUGGACCCGCGGCGCAUUAGCUAGUUGGUGGGGUAAUGGCUCACCAAGGCGACAAUGCGUACCCGACCUGAGAGGGUGAUCGGCCACACUGGAACUGAAACACGCCCCAAACUCCUACGGGAGGCCGCAGUAGGGAAUCUUCC